Molecule: long non-coding RNA, 6500 nt
Organism: Varanus komodoensis (Komodo dragon)
Lineage: Eukaryota; Metazoa; Chordata; Lepidosauria; Squamata; Varanidae
Exons: 4
Source: RefSeq, a predicted model, not a curated record
CUGAUAGCUGAUCUAACCUACUACAGCAUCCUUUGCUUUUCUCCUGGUUUAGAAAUAAACUGCAGAGCCAAGUCCCAGUACCUCUCACAGGGUUUAAGAACAUUCUCACUUCUCUUUUCUUCUGAUGUUUCUCAUAUUACUGUAGUUUGUCUCUGUUGUGCCAGAGCAGUGCGUGCUAGAGCCUGGCAAGAAUAUUCUUGGCCCAGCCCCAGCGAAUCAGUCCUGAAUUAUUAGUUUGGUCACCGCACACCCAGCCUCCACACUUCCCACCAAUGGGUAUGGCUACCAGUUUCCUUAUCCGUGUUUGGAAUGGGGCACCAUGCAGUUCUCAGCAUGGUCCAGCAAGCCCACCGCUGAGCAGCGUUGCCUCAAGAGUCUUGCAGUGGCAGGCCCCUCUGAGCGUUUCUAGCCAUGGAGGUUGCGAGCCACGUGGGUCCCCGUUCCAACUAGCAGAUGAUGUGUCUUGAAUGGCUUCCACUUCCCAUCUCAGUGCGUAGCAGUUUCCCACAGCCUGAGUCCCUCCAGAGGUGGUCAACUCCAGUCGGCUGGAGGAUGCUGGGAGCUGUAGUCCAGUAUAUGAAGAAAGAAGCAGGCUUUCUGUAGCAGGAAGAACAUGUAAGAUCUGGGCACCUGGAAUACUGGCGACACUGCUAAUCAGUGGUCUCGCUGGACCAUGCUAGACAUGGGCCUGCUGUGCAGUGUGUGGUGCUACAUUCUGAUGGGCGCCCCAGUGCAAUAGUCCAGCCUUCCCACACCAUGACUGCAUGAGAUGUGCUGGGCUUUCAGUCCCAGCUGGCAUGUCCAAUCGCAAGCUGUAUCUAAAACACCCGGUGGAGAAACCCAGACUGGGGUAGGCCAGGCUGGUUUUCUUUUUUUAUAUAUAAGCUUAUUAGUAUGCAUUUAUAGAAAGCUGUAUAUUUUGGACAUAUUUGAAAAUGAUAACUGCAUUUUUAUGAGUUUAUUUACAGGACUACUACCAUUCCUUGCCUUUUCUAUAAUUAUAUAUCCACAGUGGAGCCUACAGUCACUUUCAGUUUUACGCUAUUCAUAUAUGUAUAUAUUCUAGCAAGUUUGGUUUGGCAAGAUCCGUGAAUUUGUCCCUGAACUGGUGAGACAUAUUCUCUCUUUUUUAAAAUAUGUAACACAUCUGUAUAUUUUAUUUUCUAUUUAGGAAACAUUUUAAAACAAAUUUGCUUUCAUAAUUGCAUGUAUAGACACUGUGAGGAGUAUGGAUUGAACUGUGUGUGCUCAAGUUUUUAUUCUUAAACUUUUUUUUUUUUAAUAAACUAGACUUCCUGAAGAAGACCUAAGCCCAAAGUGGAAUCGGUCAUUUCUGGUACUGGUUUUUCAAAGCUAUUUUUUCAAACCUUACUUUUACUUUCCAUUUUAUUUAUUUGUUUAUUUCUAAUGACUAAUUUCUCAUUUUCUAAUGACUGCAUGUGUAAAGCCCGUCUAAAUGAAGCAACAUGAUCAAACUUUUGGGAUACUGUAUAUCUUCACUGGUUGGCUUAUCUCACUUGGUUUACUGCUCUUGGAGAUGGGCUGGAAUAUAUUUCCUGACUGGUCUGGUAUGUUUUGCAUUGAGAGCAAGGCUCUGUGGGUAGCCAUGAAACCUAUGACCAAAUAAACCGUCAGCCUUUAAUGCCCCACUGAACUCUUUGAUGCUUUCAUAAGGGACACAGAGCUAGUUCAGUUUCUAUUGUCCUUCUGCUGACAAGUUAAGACAUUAUUAGGCAAGCUUUUGGCAGAUGCAUCUAAACUAUUGUGAUGCUGCUGUAGGCUUUAAUCUUGUGGGUGCUAUUCCCCCUUCUUAUUCAUGUAUUUAUGUGAUUUUUAAAAAUUGGGAUAUGUUCCUAUUUUAUCAGUUUUCAUGUUGGAUUAUAACUCCAUUAUUUAUUCAGAAUUUACUUUUAGCCACCCAGAGCAUCAAUUUUUACUGGAUAGAAAGGGAUAGAAAUUUAAUGAUUAAAUGCAUGUGUAUGCACUGCUAUUCCUUCUAUCAAAGUGUAUGUCAAGCAAAAGCAUUUCCAGACUGUAAUUAUGAAAUUAAUGUUGCAUCAGCUUAUCUGCUUCAAACGUCACUUUGACCUCCUAAAUUGCUGCUAAUCUUUCUUCUAUCACGAUUCUAACUUGAAAGAGAGAAUACAAGUUUUCCAAAACAAAAGCUGAUUUUUUUCUGCAUUGUUGAUUCUGCUCUAUGGGGCAUAAUCAGCCUCUGCAGCCUCAGAGGCUCUGUGACUUAAAGCAUUAGAAUAAAACAACCAGCAACAUAUUUCUGAUCCAAAAUCCCCUUGAUUCUGAAUAUGCUUCAUUUUAACCACUGAGUCAGCUGUAAUCAGGUACAAAUGGCCCCAGUAAAUAUUUGUAGAUCGAACCAAGUACCAGUCUAGCUCUCGACAUUCUGUUCAAGUCAAGAUGAACAGCUGUUGAACACAUGGUAGGCCCCUAUGAGCACUUCUGAUCCUUGCAUACAAUAUCAGAUUCAUCCAUACUUUCCCGACACACAGCCUGCUUUUAAAUUAAUGAAUAUAGGAUCAAUUUAAUCAGAUAUACCUCUUGCAGAAAAUAUUCCAUUGUAUAUUGGAAUUCAAUUGAAUAUUCAAUUGUAUAUGGAAAGGGAUACAAUUCAUUCCUUUUCUCAUCCCCUGCCAUUGAGUACUUCUUCUCCAUUACACACCACUCCACCACUUGCAGGAAGUGAGAAGAUGAUUGGCUCAAACUGUACUGCCGUAUGUGGCUUUUAUCAAAGCGAAAUGGUGUUGUAAUGCCUCAUUUCAUUUCAUUUCAUUUCAUUUCAUGUAAGGCGUAUGAGCUAAGGGUGCUCCAUAGAGCAAACUCCUCACAAAACAAAUAUUAAACCACCUUUUCUUCUCAUGUGGUCUCUCCAUGGAUCACACACUCUUUAGAACCAAAAAAGCUGGGCUGGGGGAAAAUUUGGAGCAGCUACUGAAAGUGGAGCAGCUGUGGACUUGGUCUAUGUCGCCGUGAGUCUGAACUCCACACUACGGGGAGACUCUUGGGUUUGGUCAGACUACAGAGGGACCAAAAUAUGUUAAAUCUUGGUAAGUGUGUUGGUAUGUUGUUCAUGUAAGUUGGACAAGUAGGACCUACAGCAAAAUGAUAUGUAUGGAGCGUUGUCUGUUUAGGAUUACAGCUAUUCAUUUGAUUCUCUUCCAUUUCAAUUCUCUGCCCUCCACACCAUUUUCUUGGCUACUGAGCAUGUUCAGUACCCACUGGGUUGUUUUUGAGGCUCGCCAUGACUAUCCAAGAGCUUGAGUUUUUUUUUCUAAAGGUUUUUGUGGGACUACUCCAAACCUUAGGAGCUCUCCAACCCUGCCAAUACCUUCCUCUUGUGCACAGGUGAAGCUAUUUUGAUUAAAUAAGCAAUGGCACCUAGAGUCUCGAAACAGAAAUAGUGGGAAUGUAGAUGAGGAAGAGAAGUAUAUGUUAAAUGCCACAAAGUUCCUUCUUGUUAAGAAUUAACUCAUUUCAUCAUUUUAUAAUAGGUCUGAAUAAUAAUACCAGUUUAAAAAAUAAUUGUGCUAUUGGGUUCAUAAUUUUAGGCAUAUGCAUUUUUUCAUUAUUUCAAAGUUAUGUUUAAACAAAGAGGCAUUAGGUAGGUCAAAGAAUUUUACCUGGAACUUUCAAAAGUUAAUUUUAUUAACCAAGGAACCACUAUUAUUGAAAGAGAUGGUGGUGGUCCAUUGCUCACUCUUGGCUGCCUGUGGCAAGCUAUGGGUUCUCACAGGCAGAAUUCAAAACCAGAAAGAAGAGGAGGAAGAGGAAGAAGAGGAGGAGGAGGAGUUUGAACAAUUUGGAAGCAUAACAGUAUAAGUAUAAAUUCUAUUUUAUUUUUUCCAAUAUGUAUAUUUUGCACCUGGCUCAUUCAUUUUGUCUUGUUACCUCUCACCACCCUUUUUGUUGUCUGUCUCACUUCUUUAGUCUAUGUCUAGAUGUGGAAUUUCUGCUGAAACGUCCAAAUUCAUUUGCUUAUUCUAAUGCAGUUUACCUGGUUUGCCUAAAAUGAAAGCACAUUACUUGAGGUGCAAGGAGUAAUGCAGCCCAAUAUACCAACCCUGUAAUCUAAGUAACAGUCUGUAGUGGUCCAUGGGCAUUUGUACAUAUUUUAGGCACAUCAGAAACAAUGGUUUAUCUAUACACAGCUUAGAAAAUUUAAGUUGAAACCAAGAAUUGUUACACAGUGGAAAUAAAGGGCAUUCUGACACCUAUAAACUGGAGAAACAACAGCUAUUUUUAAACCAUGGGUUUUUUGCCAACACAGAGAUUCAUUACUGUGCAUCCUCUGCCAAUGACAGUGAACCAGUACAAAAUAUUAUGAUACCUUGCAGCACAAGGCUGCUCCGGAAUUUAACAAGCCAUUUAAAUGCACAGACUAGAGUCAGAAAAAGGUCACACACUUGCAAUUUGUGCUGUCCAUUGAGCAACUGGGGAAAAUCUUGGUACAAUAUAAAAGAGACUGGACACAGACCUGCUGCUCUGCAAAGAGAAAGGAAUACCUUAGACAUGCAACCCCACUUCCCCCUUUUCUCGAUUUAGAUGUUCUGAACUGCAGCUCAAACUGUCAGGGCCAAUGGUCAGGGAUGGUGGGGGUUGUAAUAUAAACAUCUGGAGGGUUCCAGAUUGGGGAAGGUGGUUGUAGGCCUAUUCUGGAAUUCUGAUCCCCCAGCAAUGUGAGUUGCACAGAAGACAGCAGGGAUGAGCCCCGAUCACUCAGGAUGCUCCAUCCCCUUCGUUAGGAUGCCCAGGCGCACCCUCCCCUUAUGCAACUUUAGUCAUUACAAUACCCGAACAAGGACUCUCUUCACUUUUGGCACUCCCUUUUCAACAGUCUCCCUCCCCCGCCCCCCAGCACACACCUUUCUAGAUGUAGACUUAGCUCAUUCAAUCACUACUGUUUCUUAUUGUACAGUAUUUCCAUACAAUUAUCUGCCUUGCUGGCUGUAUUUCACUGUAUGCUUCUAUUCCGUUUUUUAUUUAGAAAAAUCCUUUCCCCUUCUCCAUUAUUCAUCUUGCCCCACAUAACUCUGUAUCACCUUGCUUAUUAAUAUUAGUGUUUGAUUCUAAAAUGAAUCUGCAAAGCAGGACACCUUGUCCCAGAUGUUUCUACCUGACCCUAAAGAUCAUCUGUGAGGUCCUUCUCAAGAACCCCUCCCAAAGAAGUAAGGGGGGGGUGGCAACUAGAAGAAGGGCCUUUUCAGUAGUGGCAUCCCACCUCUGGCACAUGCUCCCCUGAGAGGUAUGCCUGGCGCUGUCUCUGCCAUCUUUUCAGGGUCAGGUGAAAGCCUCUUUAUUUUCCAGUUCUCUUAAUAGUUAAGUCUGAAACAGUUUCAAUUUUUUUUUUUAUUAUUUGUUGUUGUGCCAGGGGAUUAAAGUAUUAUAACUGCUGUGGUUAGUUGCCCUGUGGCUGUUAUUUGUCAUAUUGUUUUAGUCUUUUAUUGUCUACUCAUCUGAAUAUUUUAUGAAUUGCAUAUACAAUUCUAAAUCUGUAAACUGUUCAGACAGCCUGCCGGCUAUAUGGCUGAAUAUAUAAAUGCAAUAAAUAAAAUAAUAAAUAAGUAAAAUAAGUGGAAAGGGUUUUCAUUUCAUUGGCCUUUUUUCUAGGUACACUUCCUCCAAUUUUUAAAAUUACAAAUGCAGUCUUGGUGCUACCUUGCAGGGUUCCUGCGUCCAGAUUCCUUCUACCUCUUUUUUAAAAGUGGAACAUUAGUAUUUGGCGAGCUUCUUGUUCUCAUGGCAAAAUGGCAGGCUUGUAGCAACAGCAGGAAUGAAGAAUUGGGGAGAGUCAAGCAGCUGUAUGCAAGGAUUGUCUAACUGCCUUGGGCUGCCCUCUGAAGGCUAAAGUUGUGCACGGUGAAAAGAAGAAAGCUUCCAUCAAUUUUCUGACUCCUAAACCAUAAAUUUCAACUGGACUCCCAGCAAUUGUAUUCAAGAGCACCAAGAUGCUGCAAUGCAUGCUUGGAAGUUUCCAGGAGAAUGGCUAAGAGAACAUGGUUUUUAAGAACUCCAGAACUUUUUGGUUGCAGCAGAAUCUACAGCCUAAUGAAGACUCCCCCCUGCUGUCUGCCGCAGGUCUUCUACACUGCCACAUCCAGACCUGGAAAAUUUGUGACUUUAACAUGACUUUUGAUAUAUGCACAAAGAGUAUGAAGCCCUGCAUUUUGGGCAUAUCAUUUUGCAAAGAAAGCAGUCAUUUUGCACAAAAUAGCCCCUGAGAAACACACGAUCGGUGCGGCUUGCCCUGCAUACUUCGAAUCACAUUAAAGCCACGUGCUCUCCCAGCGAUGGUCUGCAAAACUGGGUUCUGCAUCACCAUAACAAGUGAGGAACUGACCAGGUGAGCUGACUGAGCACACAGAAGCAGCAGAGAAAUCUCUCUGUGCAACACACGUGAGUACUGGGAGUCUCACAUCUUCAGGUUACACUAUCUCAUUUGAAACAGCUCUUAGUAUCACCUCAUUGGAUCUCUCCAAAAAGAAAGG